RNAcentral lists this ribosomal RNA (253 nucleotides) under uncultured bacterium. RNAcentral's name for it is "partial 16S ribosomal RNA". It matches the Rfam family "Bacterial small subunit ribosomal RNA", at positions 524 to 776 of the family's 1533-position model. The record is from RNAcentral.
UACGUAGGGUGCAAGCGUUGUCCGGAAUUAUUGGGCGUAAAGAGCUCGUAGGCGGCCUGUUGCGUCCGCUGUGAAAGCCCGGGGCUUAACCCCGGGUCUGCAGUGGAUACGGGCAGGCUAGAGGUAGGUAGGGGAGAAUGGAAUUCCCGGUGUAGCGGUGAAAUGCGUAGAUAUGUGGAGGAACACCAGUGGCGAAGGCGACUCUCUGGUCUGUAACUGACGCUGAGGCGCGAAAGCGUGGGGAGCAAACAGG